This 453-nucleotide ribosomal RNA is filed under the name uncultured Prevotella sp. RNAcentral's name for it is "partial 16S ribosomal RNA". It matches the Rfam family "Bacterial small subunit ribosomal RNA", at positions 341 to 792 of the family's 1533-position model. Lineage: Bacteria; Pseudomonadati; Bacteroidota; Bacteroidia; Bacteroidales; Prevotellaceae. The record is from RNAcentral.
ACGGAGGCAGCAGUGAGGAAUAUUGGUCAAUGGACGAGAGUCUGAACCAGCCAAGUAGCGUGCAGGAUGACGGCCCUAUGGGUUGUAAACUGCUUUUGUACGGGAAUAAAGUGACCUACGUGUAGGUUUUUGCAUGUACCGUAAGAAUAAGGACCGGCUAAUUCCGUGCCAGCAGCCACGGUAAUACGGAAGGUACGGGCGUUAUCCGGAUUUAUUGGGUUUAAAGGGAGCGUAGGCCGUGCUUUAAGCGUGUUGUGAAAUGUAGGCGCCCAACGUCUGCACUGCAGCGCGAACUGGAGCACUUGAGUACGCAGGAAGUAGGCGGAAUUCGUCGUGUAGCGGUGAAAUGCUUAGAUAUGACGAAGAACUCCGAUUGGGAAGUCAGCUUACUGUAGCGCCACUGACGCUGAUGCUCGAAAGCGUGGGUGUCGAACAGGAUUAGAUACCCUGGUA